RNAcentral lists this small RNA (32 nucleotides) under Bombyx mori (domestic silkworm). RNAcentral's name for it is "ovarian small RNA-31970". Lineage: Eukaryota; Metazoa; Arthropoda; Insecta; Lepidoptera; Bombycidae. The record is from RNAcentral.
UGACUGCGAUUGCACGCUGCGGGCGUUGCAGC